Phoenix dactylifera (date palm) is the source of this 2401-nucleotide non-coding RNA. The record is from RefSeq and is a predicted model, not a curated record. NCBI's taxonomy places the organism in Eukaryota, Viridiplantae, Streptophyta, Magnoliopsida, Arecales, Arecaceae.
AGAGAGAGAGAGAGAGAGGAGGGAUUCCGUUCGGGUUAAGAAACCCUAGAUAGAAAGAUGGAGCGAGAGAGCGGCAUGGACGAGGGGAGGAUGGGGCUUCUCUCAGCCUCUUCUGCUUCUAUAUAAGGAAGGUCGAGGGGGAGAGGAGGCAAAGCAAAAAAAAGAAGAUCAGAUCUGAGCGGCUGACGAGCUGCUACUUUCACAGGCUCCAACCCCCUCCCCUUCCUUCCUUCCUCUCUCUCUCUCUCUCUCUCUCUCUCUCUCUCUCUCUCUCCAACCUGAGCCUUCUUUGACUGGUUUCUUGAAGCGGAAACCGUAAGAUUUGGGUGCAGAAAGGAGGGGGAUUGGGUCGGUGUCUAUUUUCUCCUUUUCUCUCUCCAAAAGCGUGGCGGCGGUGGGGAUGGUGGGUCGGGGGCUGACAGAAGAGAGUGAGCACACAGCGCGGCAAUUGCAUCGGGGAAUGCCGUUCCCGUUGCGUGCUCACUUCUCUUUCUGUCAGCUUCUUUCUCUGUGGAACAGAACCGUUGCCUACUUACUCCACCGCCUUUAAUUCUCUUGUUUUUAUUUCUUUCCUCGGUGACUGGCUAAAAAUAGAACGGGUGCAUUAACAUUCGAUGGGAAAGGGGUUCGUAUAUGUGUGUGAAAGAAGGACACGCGUGCAGGCUUUCCUCCCUUCUCCCUUCUCCCCUUCUCUUUCUAACGCAUCUGAUCUGAUAUUGUCGAUGAUGAUAACGCCUAGCUUGCUGUCCCUCCUUCUCUCUCACGCUCUCCAUCUGUCGCCUGGGCGACCUCGAGACGUCCUUCUCUGGCUCGCUUCUCUACGGAAGGCGGGACUUCCGGGAACCGGUGUAUGCUGGUACUAUCUGGUUUCUUUCUAUCCAGUUGUAUAUUUUUCCCCUUUUAAUUCGUCAUGUAGUAAUAUUGACAUGCCUAGGACGGAGGUUUUCUAUUGAUUCCAUGUAGAUUGGGUUGGAAAUUGGUGGAGGGAAUGGAUGAGAGGGGAAUGGGAUGAAGAAUUAGGCGUGGAGUGGAAAAGCGUGACUUUUGAGAUGUGGGCUGUUUGUUGGGAAACGGAUCGGAUUAGGACGAGCCCCCUCUGUCUGCGGCGCUGGCUUGACGGAAAGAUCAUUGUUUUGACCGGUCCUUCGGCUAUCCUUUCUCCUCCGUUUUCACCGCCUUCCUUCUCUCCCUACUCUUUUCUCUCUCUUCUUUUACUAUUUUUGGCAGGAUUCGUGAUCUUGGCCCCCAGAAUCUAGAGACAGAUCUCACCGCUGCUCGGCCGAAAUCAUCGUCGCCGGGUCGUACUGGGACUGGCACUUAAAGCAAAAUAAGAAGAGGACAUGAUUGGCUCCCAGAUCUGGGUUUCCAUAUAUGCUUGGUGGAUUAUUUCAGGUUCCUGUAAUAUUAAGAUUAUACCAGGAAGACAUACGAUGAUUCAGCCGCAGCUAACAACUGUCGAGGCUGCUUGUAUGUGGGAGAGUAAAGGAGGAGAAGAGAACAUAAAAAAAGCCUAUUCUUUACUGCUCUUUAUCUUAGUAAGGUAUCACUACAGAGAGUGUUUCCUGAAACAGUGGAUGCAACUACACUGGCUAUGUAUUGCCUGCCUCCAAGAGUGCAGCAUCGCUUUGAGGAAGGGCAGGCCGCUCCAUGGCACUAAACAAGGGUGCACCAAAAAGGGCAGUAAGCAGGAGAAAAAUCAUGGAACAGGCUCCAGAGACUGUUGAAGUUGGUCAUGACUGCAGUGACGGAUAAAUGAGAGAAAACUGGGUUAAUGAUGGAUAUGUGCAUGUAGAAGAAGAGCUGAAACGAUCUCCCAUUUGCUGAUUAGGUGCCUAUUUAUCCGUAGUUUAUAGACAACAAUAAAAGUGCAGCAAAAUCUAAGAGGAUGGCCUACCAACAAUAGUGAUCUAUGGAGCAAAUGGAGAAACAGAAAAUUCUAACAACUGAUGAGAAGAGCUGCAGAUCAAUUGAUUGCUACCAUCUGCUGGAAAAUAUGGAGGGAGCAAAAUGCUCAGAUUUUCUUAAAGAAAUUAAGUUCUAUAUCUUGUAUUUUGCAAAAAAAUCCUAUCAACCUUCUUCAGCUAGAAAUAUCUCUCUUCAGUGAAGCUACUAGAUCUUCAUCUCAAACUUUGGAAUAGCCUUGCAUUAUUGGCACAUGUUGGGAGACAUUAAUUUCUCUUAUUUAGAAAAAGGCAGGCUCACUUCAGGGUACAGAGCUUCCACAGUUGCACAUUGAAGAUACAGAGAUCCUUCAAACCGCUUAUCAGAUUGUUUAGUUUGUUGUUGAAUGGUUUAACGGAUCUACUUGACCACUAUCUUUUGUAAAAGACUAUUAUUUUUUUUAUGUUUUUUUCUCUUGCAAAUUCUUUGUAAAUAGUUUCUAUAAACUCUCUUGCUCUAA